GGGGGGGGGGGGCGGUGGGGCUAACAGAUGCGAGUCGGACGGCAGCACAGUAAGAGCUUGCUCUUACGGGUGGCGAGUGGCGGACGGGUGAGGAAUACAUCGGAAUCUACUUUUUCGUGGGGGAUAACGUAGGGAAACUUACGCUAAUACCGCAUACGACCUACGGGUGAAAGCAGGGGAUCUUCGGACCUUGCGCGAUUGAAUGAGCCGAUGUCGGAUUAGCUAGUUGGCGGGGUAAAGGCCCACCAAGGCGACGAUCCGUAGCUGGUCUGAGAGGAUGAUCAGCCACACUGGAACUGAGACACGGUCCAGACUCCGACGGGAGGCAGCAGUGGGGAAUAUUGGACAAUGGGCGCAAGCCUGAUCCAGCCAUACCGCGUGGGUGAAGAAGGCCUUCGGGUUGUAAAGCCCUGUUGUUGGGAAAGAAAAGCAGCAGGUUAAUACCCCGCUGUUCUGACGGUACCCAAAGAAUAAGCACCGGCUAACUUCGUG
This 492-nucleotide ribosomal RNA is filed under the name uncultured bacterium. Its description in RNAcentral is "partial 16S ribosomal RNA". It matches the Rfam family "Bacterial small subunit ribosomal RNA", at positions 38 to 507 of the family's 1533-position model. The record is from RNAcentral.